UGUGUGGCCCUGUCACCCACAGGCCUGUCUGGGCAUCCCAGCCAGGUGCAGCCCUGUACCCUCCAGGGUCUGGUCUGCCUUUCCUUUUGCAGGCCUCUGAUGACAGUGCCUUCUGUCAGCACUUGUGUGGUGAACUGGAUGACUACCUCUACAGCUUAGAAAGCUGGCUUGGCCGGAGGCGCCAGAGAAGGGGCCCUGCUGCUCCUCCUGCCAUCUCCUCCGUCUUGCUCUCCAGUCCUCCUUCUAUGCUGAGAGGCCAGGUCUGCAGAACAGAAGAUGGCUUUAGAUCCCAUUACAGAUGAACGUUUUGAGCCACUGUGUGGGUACUGGAAAUUGAACUUGGGUCCUUUGGAAUAAAGAACAGCUAGUGAUCCUAACCACUGAGUCAUGUCUCCAGCCCCAGCCUUGAUUAUUUUUAUGUUGAGCUGGGGACUGAGCCAGAGGGAUUCAUGCAUGCCAGGGAUCGGUGCCUUGCUCAGCCACCAUCAGAGAAGCUUCCUCCUGCAGCUGAUGGGACAAUACAGAGACCAUGCCAGACAUCACACAGAGAGUCCUUGGAACACACAGCUCUAAAUGGGAAGUCUCCGUCAAAUCCCUCCCCUCAGAACUUACAACCCCCCAAAAAAAAGAGGAGGCAGGA
Molecule: long non-coding RNA, 640 nt
Organism: Mesocricetus auratus (golden hamster)
Lineage: Eukaryota; Metazoa; Chordata; Mammalia; Rodentia; Cricetidae
Exons: 3
Source: RefSeq, a predicted model, not a curated record